Molecule: non-coding RNA, 378 nt
Organism: Vicia faba (fava bean)
Lineage: Eukaryota; Viridiplantae; Streptophyta; Magnoliopsida; Fabales; Fabaceae
Source: the annotation of a GenBank genome assembly
AUGAACCACUCAAACUCCUCACAUGGCAUUUGUUGUGAUUUCUCUUUUCUACCCUCAACCAAACUUUCUCUCCACUAUACCUCAUUCACCUCACUCUAUUUAACAUUCUCAUCACCUCACAAUCAAGAGAUGUGCACUGGAGUGAGAGAAAGGAAAUAUGAAAUCACCAUCUUCAUCAAGCAAAUUUUCUAUCGGGUUCCACCAUUCUCCGAAGUGGACUUCCAUUUAUCACUUAUUUCUUCAUCUCUGAAGCUUGAAGAUUAUUAUUCUCGGAGUUUCUUGAUCUUUUUAGUUGAAAGAAGUAGUGGACGAAUCAUUCUCUUAGUAAGCUCCAUGAUCCUUUCUCUCAUGCUCUCAUCCAUAGAUUUAAAUGCUUAG